This 496-nucleotide ribosomal RNA is filed under the name uncultured bacterium. Its description in RNAcentral is "partial 16S ribosomal RNA". It matches the Rfam family "Bacterial small subunit ribosomal RNA", at positions 28 to 506 of the family's 1533-position model. The record is from RNAcentral.
GAUGAACGCUGGCGGCGUGCCUAAUACAUGCAAGUCGAGCGAACGGACGAGAAGCUUGCUUCUCUGAUGUUAGCGGCGGACGGGUGAGUAACACGUGGAUAACCUACCUAUAAGACUGGGAUAACUUCGGGAAACCGGAGCUAAUACCGGAUAAUAUUUUGAACCGCAUGGUUCAAAAGUGAAAGACGGUCUUGCUGUCACUUAUAGAUGGAUCCGCGCUGCAUUAGCUAGUUGGUAAGGUAACGGCUUACCAAGGCAACGAUGCAUAGCCGACCUGAGAGGGGGAUAGGCCCCACGGGAACAGGGCCCGGGACAGGACCCCUACGGGGGGCAAAAGUAGGGAAUCUGCCGGAGUGGGGGAAAGCCUGACGGAGCAACGCCGCGGGGGUGAAGAAGGUCUUGGGAUGGUAAAACUUUGUUUUGGGGGAAAAACAUGUGUGUAGGUAAAUGGGCACAUCGUAGGGGUACCUAAGCAGAAAGCCGAGGAUAACUGCGG